AGAUUGACCUUUCAUUCCUUGGAAAGAGUCUCGCUCACUGUGUGAUCAUCGUUUGAGCCCAAAGUGCUAAAAUACAGGUGUAGGUGUUUGAGAAGCGCUGUAGUUGAUCAUGGACGAAAUGCCUAAUUUAAGGAGCAGAGGCGGAGUGGAAAAUGAAAAAAGCUUCACCGCAGUGGAGACUUGUUAACAGCCCAGGGGAGAAAGGGGCUUAACAGAGUCUGAAAAUCGUGAAAGAGCUUGACCGAUGAAAUGGGCCUGGCUGUCGUAUCGGUUUGUGAGGCUUCAGUAUGAUCGUGAGUGUAAAUGACAGAAGGCUGAGGCCGGGGUGCUAGAGAACCUUGCCGUGCUGGAAUUCACGUUGACGCCCCCACGGAGCUCUGCUGCAGAGCCCUCGAGUCCCGCACUUCCGGCCGCCAGGUGGCGCUGGUUCUGUUGCCAACUCGGAGAGACUGAGCUGGGCCACGCAAGAUGGCGCCGUCCGCCUUGCUGCGUCCUCUCUCCCGGCUGCUGGCCCCCGCCAGGCUCCCGAGCGGCCCUUCAGUGCGAUCAAAGUUCUACGUGCGA
Molecule: small RNA, 564 nt
Filed under: Pan troglodytes (chimpanzee)
Lineage: Eukaryota; Metazoa; Chordata; Mammalia; Primates; Hominidae
Description: processed transcript
Source: RNAcentral